Non-coding RNA from Cercocebus atys (sooty mangabey), 1149 nucleotides. The record is from the annotation of a RefSeq genome assembly. NCBI's taxonomy places the organism in Eukaryota, Metazoa, Chordata, Mammalia, Primates, Cercopithecidae.
CUUCUGCCUUCACCCAUCCCUCCAGCUCUGUAGGACAGGUAGAGUCCAGGGUCCGUGGAGCACUAGGCCUAAGGAAGCCUGCGUGGGGAGGACACAGGACAGUGACAUCACAGGAUACCCCUCCCAUCAGGAAAUCAAGGCCCAGAACUCACUCAGCUCUUCCCCAGGAGGACCAAGCCCUGCGUCAGGUGCAGUGCUGCCUGCCCCACUGUGCCAUGGGCCCCGGGCUCCUCUGCUGGGUGCUGCUUUGUCUCCUGGGAGCAGGCCCAGUGGACGCUGGAGUCGCCCAAAGUCCCACGCACCUGAUCAAAACGAGAGGACAGCAAGUGACUCUGAGAUGCUUUCCUAUCUCUGGGCACAACACUGUGUACUGGUACCAACAGGCACUCGAGGACCUGAAAAAGGUGUUCCCACCCAAGGUCGCUGUGUUUGAGCCAUCAGAAGCAGAGAUCUCCCACACCCAAAAGGCCACGCUGGUGUGCCUGGCCACAGGCUUCUACCCCGACCACGUGGAGCUGAGCUGGUGGGUGAACGGGAAAGAGGUGCACAGUGGGGUCAGCACGGACCCACAGCCCCUCAAGGAGCAGCCCGCCCUCGAGGACUCCAGAUACUGCCUGAGCAGCCGCCUGAGGGUCUCGGCCACCUUCUGGCACAACCCCCGCAACCACUUUCGCUGCCAAGUCCAGUUCUAUGGGCUCUCGGAGGAUGACGAGUGGACCGAGGACAGGGACAAGCCCAUCACCCAAAAGAUCAGCGCCGAGGCCUGGGGUAGAGCAGACUGUGGCUUCACCUCGGUGUCCUACCAGCAAGGGGUCCUGUCUGCCACCAUCCUCUAUGAGAUCCUGCUGGGGAAGGCCACCCUGUAUGCUGUGCUGGUCAGUGCCCUCAUGUUGAUGGCCAUGGUCAAGAGGAAGGAUUUCUGAAGGCAGCCCUGGAAGUGGAAUUAGGAGCUUCUAACCCGUCGUGAUUUCAAUAUACAUUCUUCUUUUGCCAGUGCUUCUGAAGAGCUGCUCUCACCUCUCUACAUCCCAAUAGAUACCCGCUAUGUGCAUGCACGCCUGCACACUCACGGCUGAAAUCUCCCUAACCCAGGGGCACCUUAGCAUUCCUAAGUGACUAAGCCAAUAAAAAUGUUCUGAUCUGGCCUGA